Molecule: ribosomal RNA, 693 nt
Filed under: uncultured Erwinia sp.
Lineage: Bacteria; Pseudomonadati; Pseudomonadota; Gammaproteobacteria; Enterobacterales; Erwiniaceae
Description: bacterial SSU rRNA
Rfam family: Bacterial small subunit ribosomal RNA
Source: RNAcentral
GGCUGGGAGGGUUGUGCCCGUGGAGGGCGUGGCUUCCGGAGCGAACGCGUUAAGUCGAGCCGCCUGGGGGAGUACGGCCGCAAGGUUAAAACUCAAAUGAAUUGACGGGGGCCCGCACAAGCGGUGGAGCAUGUGGUUUAAUUCGAUGCAACGCGAAGAACCUUACCUGGCCUUGACAUCCACGGAAUUCGGCAGAGAUGCCUUAGUGCCUUCGGGAACCGUGAGACAGGUGCUGCAUGGCUGUCGUCAGCUCGUGUUGUGAAAUGUUGGGUUAAGUCCCGCAACGAGCGCAACCCUUAUCCCUUGUUGCCAGCGCGUGAUGGCGGGAACUCAAAGGAGACUGCCGGUGACAAACCGGAGGAAGGUGGGGAUGACGUCAAGUCAUCAUGGCCCUUACGGCCAGGGCUACACACGUGCUACAAUGGCGCAUACAAAGAGAAGCGACCUCGCGAGAGCAAGCGGACCUCAUAAAGUGCGUCGUAGUCCGGAUCGGAGUCUGCAACUCGACUCCGUGAAGUCGGAAUCGCUAGUAAUCGUAGAUCAGAACGCUACGGUGAAUACGUUCCCGGGCCUUGUACACACCGCCCGUCACACCAUGGGAGUGGGUUGCAAAAGAAGUAGGUAGCUUAACCUCCGGGAGGGCGCUUACCACUUUGUGAUUCAUGACUGGGGUGAAGUCGUAACAAGGUAACC